This 71-nucleotide transfer RNA is filed under the name Loxodonta africana (African savanna elephant). It matches the Rfam family "tRNA". Rfam says of the family: Transfer RNA (tRNA) molecules are approximately 80 nucleotides in length. Their secondary structure includes four short double-helical elements and three loops (D, anti-codon, and T loops). Further hydrogen bonds mediate the characteristic L-shaped molecular structure. tRNAs have two regions of fundamental functional importance: the anti-codon, which is responsible for specific mRNA codon recognition, and the 3' end, to which the tRNAs corresponding amino acid is attached (by aminoacyl-tRNA synthetases). tRNAs cope with the degeneracy of the genetic code in two manners: having more than one tRNA (with a specific anti-codon) for a particular amino acid; and 'wobble' base-pairing, i.e. permitting non-standard base-pairing at the 3rd anti-codon position. The record is from Rfam by way of RNAcentral. Lineage: Eukaryota; Metazoa; Chordata; Mammalia; Proboscidea; Elephantidae.
GCAGUGGUGGUUUAAAGGUAAAAUUGCUGCCCUCUGUGCAGGAGAGCUGGGUUUGAUUUCUGGCCAGUGCA